Molecule: long non-coding RNA, 8033 nt
Filed under: Capsicum annuum
Lineage: Eukaryota; Viridiplantae; Streptophyta; Magnoliopsida; Solanales; Solanaceae
Description: long non-coding RNA (CANN_LNC004062)
Source: RNAcentral
AUGAUUCUGAAGAAGCAGGGUGUUUAAUAAGGAACCUAACUAGCAAAUCGAGGAGUAGACCAGAUAUGAAAAAUAGGACAGCUAAUAUAACUAUAAUGAAAAGAACAGCUGGACUAAUAUAAAAUUUAGUUCUCAGGUGGGGAUGAAGAAGAUGUGUUUAGUUCUUUGUGAAAAUCUGAAAUUUCACCAAAUGGGGGAGGGGGAUAUGUAAAGACACCAUCUUUUCUAUGUUGAAUCAAGAACUUCUCAAAUGGGUAUGACUAGAAACCCAUCUUUGUGACCCAACUUUACCAAAUGAACAAAUCAUCUCAAAAACACAUCCAAAAGAACCCAACUUUCUCAACUUCUUUUCACCAUCUCUGAACCAAAAAUCACGCAAAACACACUUGAAUUCAAGCAGUUCCAAUAAAAAAAAACCUACUAUUAACACUGCCCCAUCAGAAGACUUCUAAGAAUGAAAUCGAGCAAAAACAAAAAUUCUUACCUGUUGACUGUUGAGAGCAAAAGCAAAAAUCGACUUGGGUCUCUUCAGUUUUCAGCAAAAUCGAGCUUCAAUACUGAUGCGGUCUUUGAGCCGAUGAGCGUGAGUGAGGCAGAGUUCAGACAGAUCGCGUGAAAAUUGAAAAUUAAAAGAAGAUGAAAUGAUAUGAAACCCUAAGCCUAAGUGACUAAGUCUGGGAAUUGGGCAUUUGAAUUUUGGGCCUUUAGAGUUUUGGGUCAGUGGUGAGUGGACGGGUGUGCUACCAGAGUAUCAGUAUUGGACAGUGUGUGCUUUUUUUAUCGGGUUAUCGAGUGGCCCAAUAGAAAAAUAAGUAAAUUUUACAUAUAUAUCGACAUGUUUAACAUUAAUUACUAAAAAUCUCAACAUCUUUCAAAAUCUCCUAAAAUUUCAACAUUUGACCUCUGGUGAUACAAGUUAAUUACAUUAGAUACAUACUGUUGAUACAUGUAUUAAUUAACUAAGUCAGACAACCUUCCAUAAAAUCAACAUUAAAGCUAAUUAAUUAAGGUAAAAAGUAAAAUCAAAUCCCACAAUUAGUGGGAAUCCGCUUAAUACUCCCCUUUGUUAAAACAUAGUCUCUUUUAAAAAAAAAUUGAAAUUUAAAAAAUCUUCAUUCUUCUUGUUCAGACAAAACAUAAUUUUUUUUUGUUGAUUUGCUAAUUUCAUUUCUUUGAUAUGAAAAAAGAGGAUAGAUAAAAUCUAGGGCUGCAUAUCGGUCGGUUCGGUUCGAUUUUGAAAAUUAUCGAUUUUACUUAUUCAUUAUCGGUUUGUAUAUAUGCUAAACCGUUAAAGAACCGUUAAGAUAGCAGUUAAUCGGUUAUCGGUUUAUCAUUGUUAUCGAUUCGGUUAUCGGGUGAACCGUUAACAUUAAACAUAUCUAAUUUAAAGUACAAAGCUAGUAAGCAGUAAGCUACUGCCUACGAUUACAUCGCUACGACCAACUGCUUAGUGUUUUUUCUUGUUUCUAUGCACAAAGUCCCUAGCACAAAGCCACAAAUAGAAUACAAAAUAUUAAAACUCAAGUCAAAAAUUAAUUUAAAACUGUUAGCACAAACAAAAUAGAAAAAUUCAAAGUAAAAGUCACACGCUCACACAAGUUGAAAAUUAAUAGGAUUAGCCGAUUAGCAGUAGAAUCAUGUUCCCAGAUGAUUCCAAGCAGUUAGAUUUAUACCAAUAAUUCCAAAACAGAAUCAUGUAAAUGAAACAACUGCUCUGAACUAGAAACUGCAGGGUAUCCACUAUCAAUUAGACUGAGAUGAUUCUGAAGAAGCAGGGUGUUUAAUAAGGAACCUAACUAGCAAAUCGAGGAGUAGACCAGAUAUGAAAAAUAGGACAGCUAAUAUAACUAUAAUGAAAAGAACAGCUGGACUAAUAUAAAAUUUAGUUCUCAGGUGGGGAUGAAGAAGAUGUGUUUAGUUCUUUGUGAAAAUCUGAAAUUUCACCAAAUGGGGGAGGGGGAUAUGUAAAGACACCAUCUUUUCUAUGUUGAAUCAAGAACUUCUCAAAUGGGUAUGACUAGAAACCCAUCUUUGUGACCCAACUUUACCAAAUGAACAAAUCAUCUCAAAAACACAUCCAAAAGAACCCAACUUUCUCAACUUCUUUUCACCAUCUCUGAACCAAAAAUCACGCAAAACACACUUGAAUUCAAGCAGUUCCAAUAAAAAAAAACCUACUAUUAACACUGCCCCAUCAGAAGACUUCUAAGAAUGAAAUCGAGCAAAAACAAAAAUUCUUACCUGUUGACUGUUGAGAGCAAAAGCAAAAAUCGACUUGGGUCUCUUCAGUUUUCAGCAAAAUCGAGCUUCAAUACUGAUGCGGUCUUUGAGCCGAUGAGCGUGAGUGAGGCAGAGUUCAGACAGAUCGCGUGAAAAUUGAAAAUUAAAAGAAGAUGAAAUGAUAUGAAACCCUAAGCCUAAGUGACUAAGUCUGGGAAUUGGGCAUUUGAAUUUUGGGCCUUUAGAGUUUUGGGUCAGUGGUGAGUGGACGGGUGUGCUACCAGAGUAUCAGGAUUGGACAGUGUGUGCUUUUUUUCUCGUCAGUAUUGGACAGUGUGUGCUUUUUUUAUCGGGUUAUCGAGUGGCCCAAUAGAAAAAUAAGUAAAUUUUACAUAUAUAUCGACAUGUUUAACAUUAAUUACUAAAAAUCUCAACAUCUUUCAAAAUCUCCUAAAAUUUCAACAUUUGACCUCUGGUGAUACAAGUUAAUUACAUUAGAUACAUACUGUUGAUACAUGUAUUAAUUAACUAAGUCAGACAACCUUCCAUAAAAUCAACAUUAAAGCUAAUUAAUUAAGGUAAAAAGUAAAAUCAAAUCCCACAAUUAGUGGGAAUCCGCUUAAUACUCCCCUUUGUUAAAACAUAGUCUCUUUUAAAAAAAAAUUGAAAUUUAAAAAAUCUUCAUUCUUCUUGUUCAGACAAAACAUAAUUUUUUUUUGUUGAUUUGCUAAUUUCAUUUCUUUGAUAUGAAUAUUUCGGUGUUUUUACGUCAUUUCGGUGUUUGGAUUAACGAAAUCGAUUAUGUUGGUUAUAAGAGUGAUGAAAUUGUGGUCAGUGAACAUAUGUUAGUUACGAAAAAUUGAUUUCUACAAUUGAGGUAGAGUUUGAAAUCGAUGAAGCAAGGAAAAAAAAAUAGAAUCUCGUUACAUUGUAGAAGGUAAUGCUUGUCCGUUGUUGUAGAUACAUGUUGUAAAUUUAAUAGAUACAUGUUGAGCAAGUUUCAUUCCUAGAUACAUUUUGUUAUGAAAAUGAUAAAUUCUGGUCUAUCUUGUCCUUCUUAGCAAGCUUUUGACGUAAUUUCUUCAUACUUUUAGGAUUGUUUCUAUGUUUUAACCUAUUUCAUGAAAACCAUCAAUUUCAGAAUCAAAACCUCCCGAAACAAAGUUUACAACUUCUUGAGAUUCUUUGAUACUCUGUAAUUGAGAAACCCCAAAACUAAUAGAAGAUCCAAACUCUCUAUUCAUGCUGAUAAUUUACAAUGAAGCAUAAAAAAAGUGAAAUUGAAGAAAUCUAGCUACAAAAAGACAGAACUUGCGGCAAAUAAUCUUUUUGAAAAAUAAAAACGUAAAAAACGAAUUAAAUAAAUUGAAAUUGGAUUUAGGGGAGGGGGGAGGAAAAUUACCUUGAUUGAUUUUUUUUGAAUAAGAUGGAGAAGAUGAUAAAAAAUGGUCAGAUUUUACACCGUUCAAAGAGGAGAUUUGGAGUCUUUUUGAUAAAAAAAAAGGCUUUUUAGUUGUAGGUUAACUUGAAUCUGAAAGAUAGUAAAAAAUAUGAAAUGUUAGGAUUUAAAGUAAUUUUUAAGAAGUGAAGGAAUUUUUAAAAGUUUAGAUAGUUAUAUUGUAUUUUUAGGUAAUUUUUUCGAAAAAUAAAGAAACCCGAGGCCCGAACCGAUAAUCCAUUAGUGGAAAUUGUUAAAUCGAUACCCGACCCGAUAUUGAAAAAAAAAAACAACCCUGAUAAAGUAAUUAUCAGUUCAGGUUAACGGUUUUAACCGAAUUUUGCAUAGCCCUACGAAAUAGUAUAAAAGCUGACCAAUUGAAGUAGUGACACUUUAAAAGUUUAAUAAUAAGAGCCAUUUAGCACAAAUAAUAAAUAUCAACCUCAAAUAGGAGGUGGCAACUCUUGAUUGUAUUGCCACCUAAAUAUAUGAUCUUCUAGUUCCACCUUCUUGUUAUGAUGUUUUAAAAUAUUUUAGUAUGUCAAAUUGGCAAUUGAAAAAAUAAUCAUAAGUAGUUGAGAAUAAAAAUAAAAAAAUGAAAAAAAUGCAAAAGAUAUUCUACACCUAAGAGGUCCACGAUUAGCUGAUAACCCCCGAUCAACUACUCUAAUUCCUAUCAGAUUACGAUUGAUAGAAUAUUAGAAUUGCAUUUUGUAUCUUAAUCGUAAUAUUCUUUAUUCUGAAAGUGAAGUACAUAUAUAUUUUAAAAUUUGCCAAUGACCCCACCCCCGCCCCACCCACCACCCCACAAACUUUGUUUUGAUUUCGCUUUUUGAAAGUAAAAUUGCAUGAACUUUGAUCAAUAUUUAAAAAUGUGUAUUUUCAUCUUAUUAGUAUGAGAAUUGCAACUUAUUACUUUUUUCUUUUAUAAUUUUUAAAUAUCUAAAUUUUAAAUAUUAAUUUAAUCUGCACCAAUACUUUCAUAAAGCGAAAAUUUACAAGUAAAAGUGAAUUGUGGAAGUAUAUAAUAUGUGUCGAAAGAUCAUUUUAUGCACCAAUCACGCUAAUAGCUGUCUUUGUCAAACAUAUUUACUCUGAUUCGUUGGCUUCUUCAAUUGUUGGACCAUGGUUUCCAUAAUUAAUUAUAGACAGACUGAAUUACAUCUCGUAAUUAAUCCAUAUUUAGUAAAUUUUAUUUUCACUUUUCUCUUUCUUUCUUUCUGCUAAUAAUUAAACAAAGUCCACGGUUUUGUGCCCCUUGCUUAAGCCUAAAAGGGGAGAAAAGUAAGACCCCGCUAAUUUUGGCAGCACUCGUGGGAAGUAAUUUUUUAUUUUAAACUACCAUAUAGUAAAAUUUCAUAGUAGGAAAAAGCUAAUUAAGUUACACUAAUAUUUUAUUAUAGUUAACUGACCCUUCUUUUAGCCCUUUGUUCCUUUUGUGCAUCUAUUUUCUAUGCCUUCAUUGGUCAACUGCCCAUCAAAAUGUUUUUACUAAUUCUUCACUAGUUCCACAUAUAUAUAUAGAUUUAACGGAGUUGAGCUGUAUUUAAAUUGUUCGAUUUCAAUCAAGUUAUUUGUUUAAUUUUAAAAAAAGACUAUACCUUUUUCUUUGAUAAUGAGGGUCUAAUAUAAAUUCGAGUUUCAAUCGACGACUAUUAAUUAUCUAUAAUGAAAUGAAAAAAAUUUACAUAAAGAACACAUGUAAUGCACUUAUAUCCAUUAUAGUUCAUAUAAGCAUAUUUUCUCAAAUUUCUAAGUAAUUUUCCUCUGGUCAUGAGUCCCAUCCAGCUCAUACACGUUAAAUUCCUGUAAUAAAUUAGCAAAUGUGUAGAAUUGAGUACAUCUUAUAAACUUUAAAAUAAAAGUGAAUCAAUAGUUCAAAUCAAUUAGCAGAUGUAUGUGGCAGACUUGCCAAAGAAAAGUCGAUUAUUUUGGUACUCCAUGAAUGAAACAUGGUACUGUAAUAUACAUUAUUCUAAAUUUCUAAUAAUAGUCUGUAAUAUAUUUUUCUUUAGGCAUAGUCACCAUGUGAGUAUUGACAUAAAUUAGUACUCUGUCAAUAAAUUAGUACACUUUUUGUUACUUAAAUUUCAUAUCUAAUUAUGUCAGUUAUCAUCAUUAAACUGAAUUAGGACCACUAAUAAAUUUUAGUCUUUGAAGAUGGUGUACAAUUUUCUGACUUAUAUCAAUAUUUAGGAAAGUUUUACAACUUCAUAUGGGCCAUUAUCCUAUAUAUGAUCUAUUGUCGUACUGAUCCAUUGUUAUACAAUUAAUCAAUUUAGACAGUGAUUUGUCUAUACUUCACAUCAUAUUUACCCUAUCAACUGUGAACCAAACAGAAUUAAAAGCCAAAUUUAUAGAACAGAUUUAUUAGAAUGUAAUAAUUUUAAUUUACGAAAUUCACUUUAGUAUGUAAACAUGAUAGGUUCAACUCCACUAAGCAAAAAGUAUUACGAUUCAGAACGCAUAAAUACAAAAAAUAUUAAAUUUUAUGGGGGAAGCUAGCACGAGUUACAGUUUUGGUUGAACCCACUAACUUUGAUCAAAACUGUAUAUUUGUCUAAAAAAGCCUCUUGAAUAAGUUUAAAUUAUUAAUUUAGAAUCCAAAUGAAUUAAAAUCUUGAAUCCAUAAACUUCAAAUUCUAACUCCGUCUCUACUAAAUUCGCUCCGGGGGCUUAGAAAAAAUUGGAGUAAAUAGUUUACCCCAAUAUAUUAAGAUGGCUGAACUACGCUUACCUAGCAUCUUCUACAUCUUUUCACCAAACUCAUUAGGUCAGGCAGAACUACAAAGAAAGGUGAAAGAUAGAAAGUCAUUUUAAGGUUGUCAAGAUAAAAAAUAUUACUGCGUAGAUAUAUAGAUAAAUAUAUAUUUUUAUAAAUUUUUUCAUUCGGUAUUCAAUUUCCGCAUUAUUAGAAACUCAACUAAUUUGAAUCGAGCAUAACAUGGCUCAUUCUUAGGGAAAUGCUUCCAAUAAAAUUUUCUUCGUAUCUAGAGCUCAAACCAUAACUUCUGAUUAAGGGUAGACCAAUCUCAAUACUGCACCACAAACCAUAUUAAUUAGUGAGUAGAUAUCAAGAAUGCAGCAGUAGCUAGACAUCUUUUUAACUUCAAGUACACUUUAGAAAACAUUAUUUUGCAUUGUCUUCUUAAUUUAUUGCUUUCCUUUUUCAUGAUUGACAUGAAGUUAACUGCCUCAUACCUAAAUUCAUUCCAUUCUAGAAAGGGCAGAAAUAAAAUGAAGGUGAAUUCCACCAUGUGAAGGGUCAGUAACUCUUAACUGUAAUCAGUAAUCCUUUCUCACUGUUAAAAAAGAAUGUACCCUCUAUACCAAUUCCUAACAAUAUACUGUUGUAUUUAUUGUUUCCAACUAUUAUUUCUGACAACUUUAAAUUGUCAAUAUCAGUUCUCAUCUUAUAAUAAAGACGCAGAGAUAUAUAUAUAUAUAUAUAUAUAUAUAUAUAUAUAUAUAUAGGAGAUUGGUUCACGCAAAUUUAGAAAAAUAAAUAAUAUCAAACCUUAUAAAUAUUCCGACUAAUUUUUUGUUAAUAUUUUAUGAUGAAUUCGGUUACUAUAUUAUUGCAAGUAUUGACUUGUUGUCAUUGUAUGAAUUUAUGAAGUUCAAAAUCUUUGAUCAAUCCCUAGUUGUAACAUGCUCAUAUAAAUUAAGACGGAAGAUAUAAAUUUUUUGAAGUUGGUCCAACAAAACAAUGCUAACAUGUAAUUGCUUAAGAAAAAGCAUGUACAGAUCAUUGAACAUGAACAUCAACUGAAUGGAGCCAAAAUUAGUAAGAAAUAAUAUUCAUUUAAUCAUUAUAGAUGCACGUCUGUAAUCAUAUAGAAAUAAUCGAAAGGGAUAUUCUGUAUAGUCUGGAACAAUUGAAGGAAGAUAUAUCGAUCAUAAGAAAUUCCAACUAUUAAAUAAAAUAUAAAGAAGAGAAAUUCUAUCAAUUAGUGACUUGGGAGGAAACUCACACAUAUACGGAAUGCCAGAUUAUAAUAGAGACAAUUCGACAACUCGAUAUUCUAAUAAUACCAAAAACAAAAUAAAAAAUAUUACAUGGUUGAGACAAAUUUUUGAAUAUUAAGAUCUCUGAGCAAGUUAUGUCAUGACAAAUGUUCUUUGCUUCCAAAUACUAUUUUAACAAAUUAUUAAAAGCCUUAUAUGGUUCAAAUAGAGGCAAAGAUUUUAAGAGAACAGAUGUCGAUGUGUUAUGUGUGUAAAUACUUUCUUUAUUUUAUAUUACUUGAUUUUUGUUGACAUGAUAUAUAUUUUAAUCAAAUGUGAAUUUUAAUAAACUAAUCUUACUAAUGAUAUUCUGAGGCUCUAAAUUUGAUUAUUAAGUCUUUGUUAGUUAUUUAAAGGAAAAAGUGUA